Molecule: ribosomal RNA, 479 nt
Filed under: uncultured bacterium
Lineage: Bacteria
Description: partial 16S ribosomal RNA
Rfam family: Bacterial small subunit ribosomal RNA
Source: RNAcentral
AACAAACGCUGGCGGCGUGCCUAAUACAUGCAAGUCGAACGGGGAAAGCUUUCGGGUGAGUACUAGUGGCGCACGGGUGAGUAACGCGUGGAUAAUCUGCCCUCGAAUGGGGAAUAACUAGUCGAAAGAUUAGCUAAUACCGCAUAAGACCACGACUACUGAGGUAGUUGGGGUCAAAGGAGCAAUUCGUUUGAGGAUGAGUCCGCGUAAGAUUAGCUAGUUGGUGAGGUAAUGGCUCACCAAGGCGAUGAUCUUUAACUGGUCUGAGAGGAUGAUCAGUCACACUGGAACUGAGACACGGUCCAGACUCCUACGGGAGGCAGCAGUAGGGAAUAUUGGACAAUGGGGGCAACCCUGAUCCAGCGACGCCGCGUGAGCGAUGAAGGCCUUCGGGUCGUAAAGCUCUGUUGUAAGGGAAAAAGUUCUGAUUGUACCUUACGAGAAAGGAUCGGCUAACUUCGUGCCAGCAGCAGCCGCCG